AUUGACCUCAGAUCAGACAAGAUUACCCGCCGAAUUUAAGCAUAUUAUUAAGCGGAGGAAAAGAAACUAACAAGGAUUCCCCUAGUAACGGCGAGCGAACCGGGAAGAGCCCAACUUGAAAAUCUGGCAGCUUCGCUGUCCGAAUUGUAGUCUAAAGAAGCGUCCUCUGUAGCGGACCGGGCCCAAGUUCCCUGGAAUGGGACGUCAGAGAGGGUGAGAGCCCCGUCGACCCCGGA
This 236-nucleotide ribosomal RNA is filed under the name Interfilum sp. SAG 2100. RNAcentral's name for it is "partial 26S ribosomal RNA". It matches the Rfam family "Eukaryotic large subunit ribosomal RNA", at positions 1 to 234 of the family's 3401-position model. The record is from RNAcentral. Lineage: Eukaryota; Viridiplantae; Streptophyta; Klebsormidiophyceae; Klebsormidiales; Klebsormidiaceae.